Molecule: ribosomal RNA, 418 nt
Filed under: uncultured Desulfobulbus sp.
Lineage: Bacteria; Pseudomonadati; Thermodesulfobacteriota; Desulfobulbia; Desulfobulbales; Desulfobulbaceae
Description: bacterial SSU rRNA
Rfam family: Bacterial small subunit ribosomal RNA
Source: RNAcentral
GGUCUUGACAUCCCGGACGACCCUUUAACGGAAACGUAAGGGGGUGGCUUCCAUCUGGAAGAAUCUGGAGACAGGUGCUGCAUGGCUGUCGUCAGCUCGUGUCGUGAGAUGUUGGGUUAAGUCCCGCAACGAGCGCAACCCUUGCCUUUAGUUGCCAGCAGUUCGGCUGGGCACUCUAAAGGGACUGCCGGUGUUAAACCGGAGGAAGGUGGGGAUGACGUCAAGUCCUCAUGGCCUUUAUGACCAGGGCUACACACGUACUACAAUGGCCGAUACAAAGGGCAGCGACACUGCGAGGUGAAGCCAAUCCCGUAAAAUCGGUCUCAGUCCGGAUUGGAGUCUGCAACUCGACUCCAUGAAGUUGGAAUCGCUAGUAAUCGUGGAUCAGCAUGCCACGGUGAAUACGUUCCCGGGCCUU